Molecule: long non-coding RNA, 2265 nt
Organism: Gasterosteus aculeatus aculeatus (three-spined stickleback)
Lineage: Eukaryota; Metazoa; Chordata; Actinopteri; Perciformes; Gasterosteidae
Source: Ensembl
GUUACCGGCCGCGUGGGCACCAAUAUGGCGCCGGUUCCCAAUACCCAACCCUACAUGAGAGUGGUUAAAUCGACAGUUCCUAAUUAAAGAUUGCUAUGGCUGGUUCGACACCUGCAAGACUCAAGGUGAUUUUGGGAGAGAGCAACAUAGAGAAACUGACGCUUCCAAAUGGCCUACCAGAAUCCCUAGAUGAUCUUCAAAGCAAGAUCAAGACUACCUUUGGGUUAAAGGGCAACCUACGACUCCAAUAGAUGGACCAAGACUUUGGCAAUGACUUCUUCAAAUCUCAAUUCUACAACUGACUUUCAGGAUUUGGGAACAAUUAAUGUGAUCCAGGAUACAAAUCCACCUUUGAUCAGUGCCACUGAGACCACAUCCUGUAGUUCUCCUUCAAUUGAGUCUGACGGUGUUUCCCAUUCAUCAAAUGACACAAUAAUGCUCUCAUCCCCGAGUCUGUGUCAUCUCAAACAAGUGGCCACAGGAGUUUCCAAUUCCAAAAUUUUCAUAUACCAAUACAAGGCCUACCCAGAAGAUGCACAUUUCUGCACCCUUGUUUAAAAGAACCUGGCUCAUUCAAUGGCUACUAUGGUUCGAAACAGCGACUGAAGUAUAAGAUGGGAAACUACAGGACUCAGCUCAAAUUGCAGGGAUGUCCGGAGCUGUCGGUUAACUCCCUGAAAUCAAAGGCUCCUACAGAUGGUUUCCCUGCUAAAAAAGUAAAGAAGCCAAAAAGUGCUGAAGCCAACUUCUUCCCAUCAUUGCCUACUGGUGAGAUUCUGGAAAGCCAGGAAAAAGAGAGACUCGAACUUCUCACAGAGAUCGUGAUAAGAAGAAAUGAAAGUGUCGUCGCAGAGAAAAUGGCUUACACGUUUGCCUACAGAAUACACUAUUUUACGUUUGGGUUAAGAAAAUAUUUGAGUUGGAAAAACUGUAAACUUUAGGCUGACUUGUUUUAAUUUUGAGUUAAAGUGAUGCAAAAUAUUGAUUUGAAACACAUCAAAUUAUUACAUACAUCUGACUAAAAUCAAUUGUGUUAUUAAAACUUGUUAACUUCAUUUGGAAAAACUUAUGAAGAGAGAGAUGCAGACACACAGGCAGAGAAUUUAAUGACAGUUUUACAAAUUAGACAUGGUCACUAGUUUACUAGUUUUGUUUAAUAUUGAGUUUUAAGUUGAGUUACAUGACAGUCUGAUGAGGGAUGUUGUGGUACACUAUUAGUGUAAUGCUGCUUAUGCUAAAACAGUACAAAAAUGUGUGUGUGUGUUGUCAGCUUUUGAUUAUUAUGCACAACAUCGUUUAUCUCAUUUACAAAAUUUGCAGCACCAUCCGCAGGCUUCUGUGUAAUUCCACAGGCUUCUUGUAAUUUGACUUUGGGCUAUACAAAAUAAAAUGAAUUGGAUUGAAUUGAAUGCUAAGAAAAGAGAGACCCCAAAAGCAGAAGGACAAACUAAAUAUCCUGUGUUUUUUUAUUUGUUUAUUUUAUUAUUAAUAUUUUUACGUAAUUUUGGCGAUGGGUGCCCUUUUGUUUUUGUUUGAGCAGCUGCCUCCCAAAAUGUCUGUGCACGUGCCCGGUGUCCUCUAGAGGGCAACCAAGUAUCACACAAGUCCAACAAGUCGAGGGAAACACGGUCCGAAGUGUGGUGCUGUCGAUCAGGAGUUUCAUGUUUGGUGUUCAGGGAGUCGGAGAUUUCUGGUGUUUGGCUGGUCGGUGCCAUUUUGCCUGCAUCUUCUGUUUCCAUGGUGAGAGUCUGGAAGACAUGAAGCAACAGCUCCGUUACUUUCCCUUAAUACCCUCGUAUUUCAACAAAUACAUCAGAUUCGUCCUCUUGAUAAAAUGUCUGCAGAUGGAAUAUUAUAUUAUUGAGCCCUUUUGCUAAUGUUCCAGUUUAACAAACAUCCGUAUUCAUUGAUUUCAACACUGAUCAUCAUCUGGUUUUUAGGGGCUGCAGAUCUUCCAAAGCAGCAUGUACGUGAUUGGAUAUUUAUUCAUAUUAAGUGUUAACAUCAUAGAGACUUCUUGAUCACUGACCCCUGAUGCAGUAGUAGUUUAAAAAAAUCCAGGGCAUUGCUUCAUGGUCUUCAGGGUAUAAGGUGGCUAAGAUUGAGGCAAUGGCUAAGAUGCAUUUCCUUAUUUCAGAGGCUAUUGUGUUAUAUCUUUUUUUGUGUUUUUCUUUUAUUAAGUAAAAAAAUGAAGUAUUACUGUGGACGGGUGUUGUAAAUUGCGUUUUCUUGUGCAUAAUUGUAUGUUAUAAUUAUAAUGCUGCU